RNAcentral lists this ribosomal RNA (2928 nucleotides) under Salmonella enterica subsp. enterica. RNAcentral's name for it is "bacterial LSU rRNA". It matches the Rfam family "Bacterial large subunit ribosomal RNA". The record is from RNAcentral. Lineage: Bacteria; Pseudomonadati; Pseudomonadota; Gammaproteobacteria; Enterobacterales; Enterobacteriaceae. RNAcentral also lists the same sequence under 3 other names.
GGGUUGUGAGGUUAAGCGACUAAGCGUACACGGUGGAUGCCCUGGCAGUCAGAGGCGAUGAAGGACGUGCUAAUCUGCGAUAAGCGCCGGUAAGGUGAUAUGAACCGUUAUAACCGGCGAUUUCCGAAUGGGGAAACCCAGUGUGAUUCGUCACACUAUCAUUAACUGAAUCCAUAGGUUAAUGAGGCGAACCGGGGGAACUGAAACAUCUAAGUACCCCGAGGAAAAGAAAUCAACCGAGAUUCCCCCAGUAGCGGCGAGCGAACGGGGAGGAGCCCAGAGCCUGAAUCAGCAUGUGUGUUAGUGGAAGCGUCUGGAAAGGCGCGCGAUACAGGGUGACAGCCCCGUACACAAAAGCGCAUGUGCUGUGAGCUCGAUGAGUAGGGCGGGACACGUGGUAUCCUGUCUGAAUAUGGGGGGACCAUCCUCCAAGGCUAAAUACUCCUGACUGACCGAUAGUGAACCAGUACCGUGAGGGAAAGGCGAAAAGAACCCCGGCGAGGGGAGUGAAAAAGAACCUGAAACCGUGUACGUACAAGCAGUGGGAGCACAGGUUUACCUGUGUGACUGCGUACCUUUUGUAUAAUGGGUCAGCGACUUAUAUUCUGUAGCAAGGUUAACCGUAUAGGGGAGCCGUAGGGAAACCGAGUCUUAACCGGGCGUUAAGUUGCAGGGUAUAGACCCGAAACCCGGUGAUCUAGCCAUGGGCAGGUUGAAGGUUGGGUAACACUAACUGGAGGACCGAACCGACUAAUGUUGAAAAAUUAGCGGAUGACCUGUGGCUGGGGGUGAAAGGCCAAUCAAACCGGGAGAUAGCUGGUUCUCCCCGAAAGCUAUUUAGGUAGCGCCUCGUGAAUUCAUCUCCGGGGGUAGAGCACUGUUUCGGCUAGGGGGCCAUCCCGGCUUACCAACCCGAUGCAAACUGCGAAUACCGGAGAAUGUUAUCACGGGAGACACACGGCGGGUGCUAACGUCCGUCGUGAAGAGGGAAACAACCCAGACCGCCAGCUAAGGUCCCAAAGUCAUGGUUAAGUGGGAAACGAUGUGGGAAGGCCCAGACAGCCAGGAUGUUGGCUUAGAAGCAGCCAUCAUUUAAAGAAAGCGUAAUAGCUCACUGGUCGAGUCGGCCUGCGCGGAAGAUGUAACGGGGCUAAACCAUGCACCGAAGCUGCGGCAGCGACACUGUGUGUUGUUGGGUAGGGGAGCGUUCUGUAAGCCUGUGAAGGUGGCCUGUGAGGGUUGCUGGAGGUAUCAGAAGUGCGAAUGCUGACAUAAGUAACGAUAAAGCGGGUGAAAAGCCCGCUCGCCGGAAGACCAAGGGUUCCUGUCCAACGUUAAUCGGGGCAGGGUGAGUCGACCCCUAAGGCGAGGCCGAAAGGCGUAGUCGAUGGGAAACGGGUUAAUAUUCCCGUACUUGGUGUUACUGCGAAGGGGGGACGGAGAAGGCUAUGUUGGCCGGGCGACGGUUGUCCCGGUUUAAGCGUGUAGGUGUGUGUUCCAGGUAAAUCCGGUUCACUUUAACACUGAGGCGUGACGACGAGGCACUACGGUGCUGAAGCAACAAAUGCCCUGCUUCCAGGAAAAGCCUCUAAGCAUCAGGUAACAUCAAAUCGUACCCCAAACCGACACAGGUGGUCAGGUAGAGAAUACCAAGGCGCUUGAGAGAACUCGGGUGAAGGAACUAGGCAAAAUGGUGCCGUAACUUCGGGAGAAGGCACGCUGACACGUAGGUGAAGUGAUUUACUCAUGGAGCUGAAGUCAGUCGAAGAUACCAGCUGGCUGCAACUGUUUAUUAAAAACACAGCACUGUGCAAACACGAAAGUGGACGUAUACGGUGUGACGCCUGCCCGGUGCCGGAAGGUUAAUUGAUGGGGUCAGCGCAAGCGAAGCUCCUGAUCGAAGCCCCGGUAAACGGCGGCCGUAACUAUAACGGUCCUAAGGUAGCGAAAUUCCUUGUCGGGUAAGUUCCGACCUGCACGAAUGGCGUAAUGAUGGCCAGGCUGUCUCCACCCGAGACUCAGUGAAAUUGAACUCGCUGUGAAGAUGCAGUGUACCCGCGGCAAGACGGAAAGACCCCGUGAACCUUUACUAUAGCUUGACACUGAACAUUGAGCCUUGAUGUGUAGGAUAGGUGGGAGGCUUUGAAGUGUGGACGCCAGUCUGCAUGGAGCCGACCUUGAAAUACCACCCUUUAAUGUUUGAUGUUCUAACGUGGACCCGUAAUCCGGGUUGCGGACAGUGUCUGGUGGGUAGUUUGACUGGGGCGGUCUCCUCCUAAAGAGUAACGGAGGAGCACGAAGGUUGGCUAAUCCUGGUCGGACAUCAGGAGGUUAGUGCAAUGGCAUAAGCCAGCUUGACUGCGAGCGUGACGGCGCGAGCAGGUGCGAAAGCAGGUCAUAGUGAUCCGGUGGUUCUGAAUGGAAGGGCCAUCGCUCAACGGAUAAAAGGUACUCCGGGGAUAACAGGCUGAUACCGCCCAAGAGUUCAUAUCGACGGCGGUGUUUGGCACCUCGAUGUCGGCUCAUCACAUCCUGGGGCUGAAGUAGGUCCCAAGGGUAUGGCUGUUCGCCAUUUAAAGUGGUACGCGAGCUGGGUUUAGAACGUCGUGAGACAGUUCGGUCCCUAUCUGCCGUGGGCGCUGGAGAACUGAGGGGGGCUGCUCCUAGUACGAGAGGACCGGAGUGGACGCAUCACUGGUGUUCGGGUUGUCAUGCCAAUGGCACUGCCCGGUAGCUAAAUGCGGAAGAGAUAAGUGCUGAAAGCAUCUAAGCACGAAACUUGCCCCGAGAUGAGUUCUCCCUGAGACUUAGAGUCUCCUGAAGGAACGUUGAAGACGACGACGUUGAUAGGCCGGGUGUGUAAGCGCAGCGAUGCGUUGAGCUAACCGGUACUAAUGAACCGUGAGGCUUAACCUUACAACGCCGAAG